CAGUAGCCGCGGGAAUACGGAGGAUCCGAGCGUUAUCCGGAAUUAUUGGGUUUAAAGGGUGCGUAGGCGGAUAGAUAAGUCAGUGGUGAAAGACGGUGGCUCAACCAUCGCAGUGCCGUUGAUACUGUUUAUCUUGAAUAUGGAUGAGGUAGGCGGAAUGUGGCAAGCAGCGGUGAAAUGCAUAGAUAUGCCACAGAACACCGAUUGCGAAGGCAGCUUACCAAGGCAAAAUUGACGCUGAGGCACGAAAGCGUGGGGAUCGAACAGGAUUAGAUACCCCCGUAGUCCCUGUCUCUUAUAA
Molecule: ribosomal RNA, 301 nt
Filed under: uncultured bacterium
Lineage: Bacteria
Description: partial 16S ribosomal RNA
Rfam family: Bacterial small subunit ribosomal RNA
Source: RNAcentral